RNAcentral lists this long non-coding RNA (399 nucleotides) under Homo sapiens (human). RNAcentral's name for it is "non-protein coding lnc-FAM182B-14:1". Lineage: Eukaryota; Metazoa; Chordata; Mammalia; Primates; Hominidae. The record is from RNAcentral.
GUUUCCAAUGAAGGCCUCAAAAAAGUCCAAAUAUUCACUUGCAGAUUCCACAAAAAGAGUGUUUCAAAAGUGCUCUAUCAAGAGGAAUGUUAAACUCUGUGAGUUGAACGCACACAUCAUAAAGUAGUCUCUGAGAAUCAUUCUGUCUAGUUUUUAUAUGAAGAUAUUUACUUUUCUAACAUAGGCCUCAAGCCGAUCUAAAUAUCCACUUGGAAAUUCUACAAAACGAGUGUUUCAAAACUGCUCUAUCGAAAGGAAGGUUCAACUCUGUGAGUUGAAAGCACACAUCACAGAGAAGUUUCUGAGAAUUCUUCUGUCUAAUUUUAUAUGAAGAAAUCCCAUUUCCAACGAAGGCCUCAAAGAUGUCCAAAUUUCCACUUCCAUAUACUACAAAAAGAG